Molecule: RNA transcript, 1435 nt
Organism: Scylla paramamosain (green mud crab)
Lineage: Eukaryota; Metazoa; Arthropoda; Malacostraca; Decapoda; Portunidae
Exons: 5
Source: RefSeq, a predicted model, not a curated record
GGUCUGCAGGAGGCUCAGGCACUAGCAAGGAAUGAGAGGCUGGCGGGCGGGCAGCCAGAAAAGUCACUGUGCUUUGCUCUGCCUGUCAGGAAGUUAAGAGGAGAUAUGGGUAGUGAAAGAGGGGUUAUUAUGUAUGUUUGACUACAUUACAGCAGGAAUGAUACAGUGGGAGUGGUGGUGACUCAGGCUCUGAGCUCUGCUUCCUCCAUUCUGCUCCCCAACAGAGCCACUACACAAGGUGGACAUUUUCGAGGUAACAAUGGCAAGAUGUGGCAGCCAAGUUGGUGUGGCACUCUGCAGCUGCUCAGCUGCCAGGAGAGGUGUUGGUGCCACCCUCCAGCUCAACAGUGCCAAGAGAAGCGAGCUUCACUCCCAGUUCCCUCUGGUGGUGUAGAUUGCAACACUUGACAUCACAUUCACUGCAACCAUUUCAGAAUUUCAUCAAAUCCCUGGGUGACACCAACACCCAUGGCAGCCAAGCACACCCUGCACAGGCUGGUGGUUGUGUGGCACCAGAGGGGAACAGCAGCCCAGAAUGGACACCAGUGGGUGGCCCUGGGAGUGGGUGUUGGCUUGAGCAGCAGGGAGAGUAGGGAGUGUCAGCAUCUCAUGCAACACCUCACCAACAUGCAGACUGCAGCACUGGACCAGAUGCAGCAGGCAUAAGGUGUGCUGUCUCCGCUUCACCAUCCCAUGAACAGCCUACAAGAAUCUCGCUACCAACAUAUACUACUGCACCACUGGCAUCUGAUAAUCAAAUGGUGCUGCUUCCUUAGGCCUGACAUUCUCCAUUGCAAUCAUUGGGUCAAGUUUCAUAAGGAAGAGAGUAUAAGUGUUGGUACCUUCAAGCCAAGUGGUGUUAAAAAGUUUCAUCAGGAAGAGAGUACAAGUGUUGCUACGUUCCUGAUGAAACUUCUUAAAAACCUCUUCAAGUCUGACAAGGUUUUUAAGAAGUUUCAUCAGGAAGGAGAGUGCAGCAGGAAAAGUGUCUGGUAUGAGAGUUCUCUCUAAGGAAGAGUAAUUUCUGCAAGACUAGUGCGAGUCAGAGAGCAAGUCAAGAAUUUUAAGCAGGAGGAAGAAUGUCAUGCAGUUAACAGCAGGAAGUGCAUGAAAUUCCCUUCAAAUUGUGGUGGGAGUGACAAGCAAGACUUGCACAAGAGUUUCUGCCAGUUUCACCAGGAAGAGUUUGGCCUCAAGUUGACACAAAAUCAGCAAAUCUCACAACCUUCAGAUCUGGUAGAAGAGUUUUCCAUUCCAGUCUGGGAAGGAAGAAUGUAAGAAAUCCCUCUUCCAAGUACAGAUCAACAAGCAUCACUGUUUUCAGGCCUGAAACAAGGAAAAUAAAUGUCAUGUUUAUCCUAUUGUGUAUUUGUUAAUUUACUUACACUGUAAAAAUGUGAUAAAACAAUAAAUAUACUAUCAUGCACUUAUGGAA